RNAcentral lists this ribosomal RNA (253 nucleotides) under uncultured bacterium. RNAcentral describes it as "partial 16S ribosomal RNA". It matches the Rfam family "Bacterial small subunit ribosomal RNA", at positions 524 to 776 of the family's 1533-position model. The record is from RNAcentral.
UACAGAGGUCUCAAGCGUUGUUCGGAUUCAUUGGGCGUAAAGGGUGCGUAGGUAGCGCUGUAAGUCGGGUGUGAAAUUUCGGAGCUCAACUCCGAAACUGCAUUCGAUACUGCGGUGCUUGAAGACUGGAGAGGAGACUGGAAUUCAUGGUGUAGCAGUGAAAUGCGUAGAGAUCAUGAGGAAGACCAGUGGCGAAGGCGGGUCUCUGGACAGUUCCUGACACUGAGGCACGAAGGCCAGGGGAGCAAACGGG